UAAGCCCCGGUUUCCGUACGAUCAUCAAAGUUAAGCGACGUCGAGUCUGGUCAGUACUUAGAUGGGUGACCGCUUGGGAAUACAAUACCAGGUGAUG
Molecule: non-coding RNA, 97 nt
Organism: Acanthosepion pharaonis
Lineage: Eukaryota; Metazoa; Mollusca; Cephalopoda; Sepiida; Sepiidae
Source: the annotation of a GenBank genome assembly